GGGCCCGCACAAGCGGUGGAGCAUGUGGUUUAAUUCGAUGAUACGCGAGGAACCUUACCAGGGCUUAAAUGGGAGAUGACAGGGGCAGAGACGCCCUUUUCUUCGGACAUCUUUCAAGGUGCUGCAUGGUUGUCGUCAGCUCGUGCCGUGAGGUGUCAGGUUAAGUCCUAUAACGAGCGCAACCCCUACCGUUAGUUGCCAUCAGGUUAAGCUGGGGACUCUAAUGAAACUGCCUACGUAAGUAGAGAGGAAGGCGGGGACGACGUCAAGUCAUCAUGGCCCUUACGCCCAGGGCUACACACGUGCUACAAUGGUAGGUACAAUGAGAUGCCACUUGGUAACAAGGCGCAAA
This 352-nucleotide ribosomal RNA is filed under the name uncultured bacterium. RNAcentral describes it as "bacterial SSU rRNA". It matches the Rfam family "Bacterial small subunit ribosomal RNA", at positions 917 to 1271 of the family's 1533-position model. The record is from RNAcentral.